AAUUCGGAAACAUGAAAAAGAGGACGUCGAGUUCUGUGUCUGUAUUUUCAAUGUCAUGUGGUUUUUCUAGAAAGAUACAAAUGCUGGGCAGAGUAUAUCGCCAUAUACGUACCGCCACACGUAAUGAUGACUAAGCGUUGCACCUAACCCUUAAAAUAUUAUUGGCACAGCAGCUGCUUUUCCUUCCUCCGCUUACUUCCUGGCUCUACUUAAAUAGCCAUCACUCCUCACACUUCAAUUCAAAUUCAAUCGAUGUGCCACUGUUUUGUUCACAAAAGAUAAAAAGACACCGCUACCGCCACCGCCACCGCCGCCGCCGGCAGAAUUCCUGAAGCUGCUCUUACGCCGCACUUCAACACUUACGCCUCUCCGUCUUCAAACGGUGCGUUCAAUCACAAGCCCUAAACUGUGUGUACAUAGUUGGUGAGAUGUAUUGCUAUGAGCGAUUUACUGAUCUAUAGUUGGAGGCUUAAUUUCUAAGCUUUGGCUGAAGAAUUCCAUCCAUCUAAAACAGUGGCGGACCUGUGCUUGUACAAGCGUAUCCAGUUGAACACUUGUCAAAAUCUUUUACUAAUUUUAUGUGUAAAUUAUUGUCAAACCAUGAAAAAGUUGUUUAACAGAUGUUGAAUCCACUUGACAUUGACAAAAAGGAAACUUUUGGAGCAAUGUUCAAGCGGGGUCAUGAUAUGCCCCGGGGCUUUAUGACAACAUUCUUGCCAACUCUAAUGCAUUUAUGGUAACGGAGAUUUCAGUUGAGAAGAUAUUCUUGGCUCAAAAGGUAACAUCCAAGGGUAUUCGCUCUUCAACAUGCCAAAACAUAAGUGUUAUGCAAGGAAAGUGAUUGUCUUGUAGCGAUACACUGCAUUGGAGCUGCUUCUGGGAUCAAGAUUGUUACAAUCAAGUGAUGGCUUUUGACUCAUGCUUUUUGGAGUUUCGAUUGUUCCAACUUCCAAAUGGGUAACAGAUAAAUGCUUCUCUUGUUCUGCUGAAUCAUUUUCCGGUUUCUAGAGAGGGACUCAUGACUAUGCCUUCCCAUAUUUCUUUGUUCUUGAAACACCUCGCUUUUACUAGAGAUUUUGGGAUUAAGGCAUACUUAUUGUUGUAUUCGCUUUCAAAUUAUCUUGGCUAAAGUAGAGUUAUUUCUCAGCUUCCAUUUCAUGUUUCAUGAAAUUAUUGUGUAUUUGAUCGGUACAUGUGUUUUGUCAGCUGCCAAGUUGUACGUAUUCAUGACACUUGAGAGUUUGGAAAUGCCCAAAGAUGUCGGUUCUCAACUUUCAUUUCGUAUGUAUAUGACAUGAAUAUAUAAUUGGUCAUCCACAACUGCUAAAUA
Long non-coding RNA from Nicotiana tabacum (common tobacco), 1330 nucleotides. RefSeq lists it as uncharacterized. The record is from RefSeq and is a predicted model, not a curated record. Lineage: Eukaryota; Viridiplantae; Streptophyta; Magnoliopsida; Solanales; Solanaceae.